Molecule: long non-coding RNA, 325 nt
Filed under: Homo sapiens (human)
Lineage: Eukaryota; Metazoa; Chordata; Mammalia; Primates; Hominidae
Description: HSALNT0329684
Source: RNAcentral
GCAAGGUCGCUAAAGCACAUGUUCAGCAAGCUUGACCAUGAGUUCUAGACUAGAAAAGAGGCAAAUAAAUAAAUAAAAGGCAAGAAAGAAGCCAACUGACAACAAGGGAGAAGUUUUAGAGGCUAAAGCCAUAAAUGAGGCCGUGCCAUCUGGUGCUACAGAGACAGGAUCUGGAGCCAGCAGACCUGGACUCAAGUCCCAGCUCCACUUCUCAAGAGCCACAAGGAUUUGGGCAAGUAACAUCCCCUUCCCACACCUCCCUUUCCUCUGCUGAAAUUGGAGACCAUAGUAGAAUCUCCCAUUGGGUGAGAUAAAGCAUAUAAAC